GAGUUUGAUCCUGGCUCAGGAUGAACGCUGGCGGCGUGCUUAACACAUGCAAGUCGAACGAAGCACUUUAUUUGAUUUCCUUCGGGACUGAUUAUUUUGUGACUGAGUGGCGGACGGGUGAGUAACGCGUGAGUAACCUGCCCUGGAGUGGGGGACAACAGUUGGAAACGACUGCUAAUACCGCAUAAGCCCACGGAUUCGCAUGGAUCUGCGGGAAAAGGAUUUAUUCGCUUCAGGAUGGACUCGCGUCCAAUUAGCUAGUUGGUGAGGUAACGGCCCACCAAGGCAACGAUCGGUAGCCGGACUGAGAGGUUGAACGGCCACAUUGGGACUGAGACACGGCCCAGACUCCUACGGGAGGCAGCAGUGGGGAAUAUUGCACAAUGGGGGAAACCCUGAUGCAGCGACGCCGCGUGGAGGAAGAAGGUCUUCGGAUUGUAAACUCCUGUUGUUGAGGAAGAUAAUGACGGUACUCAACAAGGAAGUGACGGCUAACUACGUGCCAGCCGCCGCGGUAAUUC
Molecule: ribosomal RNA, 521 nt
Filed under: uncultured bacterium
Lineage: Bacteria
Description: bacterial SSU rRNA
Rfam family: Bacterial small subunit ribosomal RNA
Source: RNAcentral